GAAAAACUAAAAUCACUUUGAACCGGCGCACUUAGCAAAAUUUUUAUGUUUAGCGCUCCACCAAAUUAAAAAAAAAAUCCAUUUGUUGCCAAACAAAACCUAAUUUUUCUCAUAUUUGCCUCAUUAUCUUCUCCUCAUACCUCUUCGUUCUCUUCGAGACCUUUAAUUUUUUAUAAAGUAACGCUCUCUCAUUUUUUUUUUGUCUCACCUUCAACCCUAAAUCCCCUUUCUCCAUCUCCAAAAAAACAACAGAUCUAAAAAAACACAGAUCUUCCACUUAUCCAUACUUUGAAGAUCCUCUUCUCCUCAUCGUCUUUCUCCAUCUCCAAAUUGUCGCCGCGUCAUCAAUCUUCCAUAUCUGAGAACGACCGAUGGUACUAGAUCCGCCGGGGGUCAAAAUUUCUCCGAUUUGGUCUGGUUCGAGCUCAAGUAUCCUUCAUCCUGAAUCGGGUCCGUUGGUUUCUCCAUCUAUAGACUUGGCUGGUUUGUUGUGGUUCGAGCUAUGGCGAAGUCUCAAACAGAUCAGAGGAAUAAGAGAGGGAGAAAGAAAGAGUCUUGGUUUGAUGAAUCCUCUAAAAAAAAUUCGUUUCCAAAUCCUUCUUCUUCGUCAUCUCCGUGGGCAUUUGCGUUCCACAUUUUUUCUUGUUACUUCUUCAUGUCUAGCUUCUUGUUCUUCUUCGUAUUCGUGAGUCUCUUUCAAAUCUCUCUAUCAUUAUCAGUUUUCAACUUCUGGGUUUAGGUAACUUCUUCAUCAUUAAAAUGUUGUUUCAUGAUAAUAAAAAGUCAAGUCCGAGUUCGUUUCUAUCUCUAGUUAUAAUCGUUACUGAUGUGAAAGUUUCUUAUACUCAUAUGAGUUACAGCUUACUGUGAAUUUGUGAUGGUGAAGAGACUUGAAGGUGCUAAAACGGUGAUGACGAGUGAAGAAGCGAGUGAUGGUAGAUGUAUCAAAGAUUGUCGCCAAAGCAAGAAGCUGCUUGUUCGCAUCAAGCAAACUCAAGUGAGAUUUUCUAAUUUACCAUGCUCGAGUCUUCUGAAUCGUAAUGUUCAUUGAGAAUGAUGACGAUUCUAAUGGGCAAGAAGAGUAUGUGAUAUCAUUGAAGGAAAGGUAUGUGAAUCAACUGACUCUAUCAUCAGUAUCUUGAAAUGUUGGUGAUGGUUAUGACUAACAUUUCUCUCUUUCUUUAAUUGGAGCGUCAUCUUGUGCUUGGUGUGAUUUCGUGAGGCUAUAAUGCUGCUACUGCUAUUUGUUUUUGGUAAUGGUGAAUGUGUAAAUAAUCUUUAUUAUUGUUGUUCUGUCUAGAUACAGUUGCUAGCAGACUUAAACUUGAAGAAAACUCCCAGCUGGUGGAGUUGGUUGCUGAUAGCAAUAUAAAAUUACUCACUCAUAGUGAAAAUUUUGACUUUGUUUUGAGCACAAGGAGCUUAUAGUGUCAUUCGGGCUAUUCGAGAUUGAAGAGCAUGUUGGGAGUGAAGAAGAAUGUCAUUCAGGCUAUUCAAGAAGCUUGAAGAACUUGUUAGGAGUGAAGAACAUGAUUCCUAGUUGUAUAGUUAGUCUAAGACUUGGUUUGAUAUAACUUGGAUGGUAUGUUCAAACCCUUAUGAUUAGUAUUCUUGUUGUGAAGAGUAGUGCUAAAGUAGUAUAUAGAAGUGUGGAUAUUAGUUUAACUAUUGGAUUGAGACUUACGUUGUAUGAAUUGAUGUUUGGUUUAUGAAAUGAUGUUAUAUCU
Arabidopsis lyrata subsp. lyrata is the source of this 1727-nucleotide RNA transcript. RefSeq lists it as uncharacterized. The transcript has 4 exons. Lineage: Eukaryota; Viridiplantae; Streptophyta; Magnoliopsida; Brassicales; Brassicaceae. The record is from RefSeq and is a predicted model, not a curated record.